AGAGUUUGAUCAUGGCUCAGGAUGAACGCUGGCGGCGUGGAUAAGGCAUGCAAGUCGAACGGACAUUUUUUGAGAUUAUAUCAAAGGAGAUGUUAGUGGCGAACGAGUUAGUAACACCUUGGUACGUACCCCGAAGUCGGGCACAACGGGUCGAAAGAUCCGCUAAUUCCCGAUGGCACCGGUGCUUCGCACCGAAAUAUUUAAAUAUUUAAACAUUUAAAUGUUGCGGCGCGCAGCGCCGGUUAAAGUCGUAAGACGCUUUGGGAGCGGCCUAGGUCCUAUCAGCUUGUUGGCGGGGUAAAAGCCCACCAAGGCUAUGACGGGUAGGGGGUGUGAGAGCACGUCCCUCAACGAUGGAACUGCGAUACGGUCCAUACACCUACGGGUGGCAGCAGUCGAGAAUAUUCGACAAUGGGCGAAAGCCUGAUCGAGCGACGCCGCGUGCAGGAAGAAGGCCUUCGGGUUGUAAACUGCUUUUGUCAGGGAAAAAUUUUGAUUGUACCUGAAGAAUAAGGGGUUGCUAACUCUGUGCCAGCAGCAGCGGUAAUACAGAGACCCCGAGCGUUAUCCGGAAUUACUGGGCGUAAAGCGCGAGCAGCCGGUUGCUUUAGUCUGCCGUUAAAUCUCACGGCUCAACUGUGAGACCGCGGUGGAAACGGAGCGACUGGAGCGGGUAAGAGGUAGGCGGAACGUGCAGUGUAGGGGUGAAAUCCAUUGAUAUUGCACGGAACACCAAAAGCGAAGGCAGCCUACUAGUGCUCUGCUGACGGUCAUUCGCGAAAGCGUGGGGAUCAAAAAGGAUUAGAUACCCUAGUAGUCC
Molecule: ribosomal RNA, 820 nt
Filed under: uncultured bacterium
Lineage: Bacteria
Description: bacterial SSU rRNA
Rfam family: Bacterial small subunit ribosomal RNA
Source: RNAcentral